ACUUAAGCCUACCAAGUUCUGUGGGUCAGGUUUCUGUGUGCAUUGCCGCCUUUAGCUGAACUCAAAGCAUUGAUUGAUCUCAAAAUAUUUUUAUUGUGCUCCGGAUGAAAAGAGCCCUGGGUUUUGGUUGUGGACUGGCCUAUGACUUACUCAACCAUGCUCCUUCUUCAACCCUGCAGAUUCCCUGUGGGAGCUGGCCUGAGAUGCUAACUGUGCUCUGAGCUUCCCGGUGAGAACUCUGAAGACCUGCAGGGCCCAGGCUGGGCAACCUCGCGCUGCCGUGCGAACAGCGGGGCUGGCAGCUACAUAAGAGUGGCCCCACGCAACACCCCCGGAGGGAAGCCUGUGGAGGAAAAGCAGAGGGCGGCUGCGGCGGCUCAGCCCCGAGCGCUUCCACGCCUCCGUCACCACCAGGCUGCAGCUGGCAGAGCCGAGCACCCAGCCUUAGAGGUCUCGAGGAGGUUCCAGUGUCCCGAGUCCACCACCCCCGGCCUUGUGGUCAGCUGCCAUCGCCGAUGGCAUUGCGGAUGCCGAGCACCUUUUUCCUCUGCGGGGUUUAAGCCAUCCUUGGAAGAACGUGCAGCUGGCACUGGCAGCUUCCCAGCACCGAAGCAAGGCAGGGUUUGGUAUUAGCGCUAUUUCCUCUGUUGGUGCUUUAGGUAAAUACACUCAUGUCACCUGGGAAAUUAACUCAAGGGAAAUGACUACAAAUUAGCUACCUGUGUGCACAUGCAGAGCAGAGUUUCUGUUAGCUUGCGGUGUUUAAAUUCAAAUACUUUGAGAAGUCUUGACUUUUCAAACAGAGGCACCUAGCACCUUUUCAUAUACCUGUGAGGUCUCUGGCAUUUGAUUGUCCUGAACAAUUAGGGCACAGCUGCAAGCAUAGAAAACUCAAAAACCAUAGCAUAUCUAUUUAUUUUUUUCUGGACAAACAAUUUUAUUUUAGGUAAUGCGUCUAUACACUGUACAUUCAGUCACUGUGGUAUAUAAGCAUAGCUAUUUUCAUACAUAAUCUCAUAAAGUCCUUUAUUUUACAAUAUUAUCUGCUUCAAGGGGAGGGGAUGUGGAAAAGGGAGUGGAAAAGGACUAUCAAGGUACACAGCGAAAUAGAUAAAUAUGCCAAGCUUUUUUCUUAUUUUUUUAAAUCAGGCAUUUAUAAACAAGAAAGCAUACAUUACUUACAUAAAAAUAGUUCUAGAAUAGUAGAGUAAGUCAUAAUAUUGUCAUUAGCAGCAGCAUAGGAGAGACCAGGAUAACAAAAAUGUGCUGAAAUGCUAUUGGCUAUUAUAAAUGUAAAGAUUUAUUUUUCUUCAAUUGAAAAAAUGUCAUUUCUGUGAUUUCUUUUGAUUAAAAAAUGAACAACAAAAAGAAAAACAACAAAAAACAAACCAACAGAAACUUCUCUCUAAAACACCUGGACUGAUGAGAGGGCAGAAUGGAAAGAAAAAUCAACCUUUUGGUAAUAAAAUACUUUACAGUGAAAAUAUGGACA
RNAcentral lists this long non-coding RNA (1492 nucleotides) under Anser brachyrhynchus (Pink-footed goose). Its description in RNAcentral is "lncRNA (ENSABRG00000006735.1)". Lineage: Eukaryota; Metazoa; Chordata; Aves; Anseriformes; Anatidae. The record is from RNAcentral.